UACAGAGGGGGCAAGCGUUGUUCGGAAUUACUGGGCGUAAAGGGCGCGUAGGCGGCCUUCUAAGUCGAACGUGAAAUCCCCGGGCCCAACCCGGGAACUGCGUCCGAUACUGGAAGGCUUGAAUCCGGGAGAGGGAUGUGGAAUUCCAGGUGUAGCGGUGAAAUGCGUAGAUAUCUGGAGGAACACCGGUGGCGAAGGCGACAUCCUGGACCGGUAUUGACGCUGAGGCGCGAAAGCCAGGGGAGCAAACGGG
Molecule: ribosomal RNA, 253 nt
Filed under: uncultured bacterium
Lineage: Bacteria
Description: partial 16S ribosomal RNA
Rfam family: Bacterial small subunit ribosomal RNA
Source: RNAcentral